This 140-nucleotide small RNA is filed under the name Peptococcaceae bacterium. RNAcentral describes it as "c-di-AMP sequence". It matches the Rfam family "c-di-AMP riboswitch aptamer (ydaO/yuaA leader)". Rfam says of the family: This family represents a conserved RNA structure found upstream of the ydaO and yuaA genes in Bacillus subtilis and related genes in other bacteria. The ydaO/yuaA element is thought to act as a genetic "off" switch for the ydaO and yuaA genes in its native state. Lineage: Bacteria; Bacillati; Bacillota; Clostridia; Eubacteriales; Peptococcaceae. The record is from RNAcentral.
AUAAUUAAAGUGCUGAAUCUGAGCUUUUGGAUGCUCAGAACGGGGGAUUUCAUGUGGGGUGAAUCAUGUGUAGAACAUGUAGGGCUUACACCUUAGCCCGAAUCCGUCAACUAACCUCGUAAGUAAAGAAAGGUGGACAA